UGGGGAAUCUUGGACAAUGGGCGCAAGCCUGAUCCAGCCAUGCCGCGUGAGUGAAGAAGGCCUUCGGGUUGUAAAGCUCUUUCAGACGGAAAGAAACGGUUACGGCUAAUACCCGUGACUAAUGACGGUACCGUAAGAAGAAGCGCCGGCUAACUACGUGCCAGCAGCCGCGGUAACACGAACCGGACAAACGUUAUUCGGAAUUACUGGGCUUAAAGGGUGCGUAGGCGGUGCGGUAAGUGCGGUGUGAAAUCCCACGGCUCAACCGUGGAAUUGCGCUGCAUACUGCCGUGCUAGAGGGAGACAGGGGUAAGCGGAACUGAUGGUGGAGCGGUGAAAUGCGUUGAUAUCAUCAGGAACACCGGUGGCGAAAGCGGCUUACUGGGUCUCUUCUGACGCUGAGGCACGAAAGCUAGGGUAGCGAACGGGAUUAGAUACCCCGGUAGUCCCUGAGCGGGCUGGCAAGGCGCAU
RNAcentral lists this ribosomal RNA (472 nucleotides) under uncultured bacterium. Its description in RNAcentral is "bacterial SSU rRNA". It matches the Rfam family "Bacterial small subunit ribosomal RNA", at positions 355 to 825 of the family's 1533-position model. The record is from RNAcentral.